This 249-nucleotide ribosomal RNA is filed under the name uncultured bacterium. Its description in RNAcentral is "partial 16S ribosomal RNA". It matches the Rfam family "Bacterial small subunit ribosomal RNA", at positions 1251 to 1500 of the family's 1533-position model. The record is from RNAcentral.
GACCAUGUGAAUGCAAGCAAAUCUCAAAAUAACGUCUCAGUUCGGAUUGUAGUCUGCAACUCGACUACAUGAAGCUGGAAUCGCUAGUAAUCGCGAAUCAGAAUGUCGCGGUGAAUACGUUCCCGGGUCUUGUACACACCGCCCGUCACACCAUGGGAGCCGGGAAUGCCCGAAGUCGGUGACCCAACCGUAAGGAGGGAGCCGCCGAAGGCAGGCCUGGUAACUGGGGUGAAGUCGUAACAAGGUACC